This 2296-nucleotide long non-coding RNA is filed under the name Marmota monax (woodchuck). Lineage: Eukaryota; Metazoa; Chordata; Mammalia; Rodentia; Sciuridae. The record is from RNAcentral.
GUGCUUCCUGCAUUCUGGUAGAUGGCCUUGAAUCAUGUGCCAAGUACAUUAAUAUUGAGCUCAAGGAAGUACUUAUUAUAUUAGCUGGCAUAUUCUGUUAUUUAAUAAAGAUUUUUAAUAAAGAAGAGUACCACUGGAAAUGAAAAAUUAUUGGUGUACAGUUGGAUUUAAUGGCAGUAUUAUAAUUUCAUUUAACGUCACUUGAUAGAGGAAAUAAGAGCUCUUCUUUAUCAUGAGUAGAUUUGGGCUCCUGUUCAAAGGAUCAUGCAUUAUUUAGAACCAUGUUUGUAUGUGAUAAGCUUUUAAUCCGGUUGUUCAGAAAGUAUACCUUUGCUAUGAAUUUCUCUCCACGAUCUUCAUACUUCCAAAAUGAAAAUGAAUAAAUGAGGCUUCACAAAGAAUGCAGAAUGAUAAGAAGAGUAGGAGGUUAUCCUGAUUAUGACCUUGAAGACUGGAGUUGGGGUGGGAAGGCCCUGUUCCUGCUUAAGGUAGUCUCAGGACCAUCCUCAUAAACAGGGGAUUCAGUUAAAAGUUUGUGUUUGUUAAGGCUUGUAGUCACAUCAAAAAACACCUGUGAGCUGCAUUAUGAAAAAAAAAAAAUGAGGAUACAGGACUGCCUCGUGAACCCCAAAACAGAAUGCUACAAGGCCUCCAAAUGGAUUUGAACUGGAACCUCAGAGACUAUAGAAAACCCAGUUGGAUUCUUAAGUGAUAAUCCACUGGCAGGCUCUGUCCUAGAACUCAGGAUGGCUAAAUAAGCAGGCCCUAGAAUCAUAGGAACCAUAGGAUCCCUGUAGUAGUACGUUUCUCAUGACCAUUCAUGGUCACCAAAAUGACCAUGCCACCUAUAUUCUGGCUUGGGUAUCUGAUCAGGGAGCAGGAAGCUGGUAGGCCUGACUUGACCAUUAUCCCCAGGGUGACAUGUAAUGAGGGUGAGGCAGUCCCUGAAGGAGAAGACAAUUUUGUUAACACAUGUGUCUGCCAGGCAGAAAAAAAAAAAAACAAGCAUCUACUCUGGGAAUCUAGAAAUGUCUCCAGUGCUCACCUCUGAAUCAUCUUGCUCCCUCUUCUCUCUUCAGCUCUUCCCCCAUAACUUACUUAGUUGCCCAACCCAUGCCAGAAUACCAAGCCACUCCACUGGGAAAUGCAUCGACUGGGUGACAUUUGCUCACUGGUUAUCAAGUUUGGCUACAUACUAGAAUCUUUUGGGAACUGACACCUAGGUUCUAUAUCCCCAGAGUCUGAUUUGAUUGGUCUCAAGUACAGCCUUAAACACCUACCCAGUGUUGUGGUUUGGGUCUGCAAUAUCCCUCUAAAAUCUCAUGUGUUGAAAACAUGGUUGCCAAUGUGACAGAGUUCAGAGGUGAGGCUCUAGGAGAUGAUUGGAUUAUGGGGAGUGUAACCUUCUCACUGGAUUAAUCCAUUUAAUGGACUCACAAUUCAAAAGGACUACUGGGUAUUAACUAAAGGCAGGUGGGUAUGAUCCAAGGAAGAAUCUCCCUCUCUCUCUUUCUCCCUCCCUCUCUUCUCCGUCUGCCCCCCAAUUAUAUCCCCCCUCCUUCUCCAUCAUAAGCUGAGCAAGUUGAGCAGCUUUCCUCCACCACACCCUUCCGCCAUGAUGUUCUGCCUCACCUCAGGCCCAGAACAAUGGAGUCAGCCAACCAUGGACUGAGACCUCUGAAACCAUGAACCAAAAUAAACUUUUCCUCCUCUGAAUUGUUCAUGUCUAGUAUUUUGGUCACAGGAAUAAAAAGCUGACUAACAUACCCAGCAAUGGUAAUAUGUAGUCAAGAUAGAGAACUCUUGAUCUGAUAUGGUAAGAGGGUGGUAGGCCCAUGGGGAAAAGGCCAUAUUAUCAGCUUUCAUUUUCAAGACCUUGAUUUCUACUUCUAAUCAAAUGCUUGCUAUUCAUGUCUGGAACUGACUAUUGCAAAUGGAUACUUUAAAAAUAGAUUUGAUUCUGUCAGGCCCAGGGGUGCACGGCUAUAAUCCCAGUGGUUUAGGAGGCUGAGGCAGGAGGACCAUGAGUUCAAAGCCAGCCUCAGCAACAGUGAGGCACUAAGCAACUCGGUGAGACCCUGUCUCCAAACAAAAUACAAAAUGGGAAAGGUAGCAGAAUACAACAGUCACUAAUAUGCCAUUAUGUAAAAAUGUGAGUGUGUAACCGAUGUGAUUCUGCAAUUUGUAUUUGGGGUAAAAAUGGGAGUUCAUAACCCAAUUGAGUCAAAUGUAUGAAAGAUGAUAUAUCAUGAGCUUUGUAAUGUUUUGAACAACCAAUAAAAAAAAAAAUACAAAA